GCUUGCUUCUCUUGAGAGCGGCGGACGGGUGAGUAAUGCCUAGGAAUCUGCCUGGUAGUGGGGGAUAACGUUCGGAAACGGACGCUAAUACCGCAUACGUCCUACGGGAGAAAGCAGGGGACCUUCGGGCCUUGCGCUAUCAGAUGAGCCUAGGUCGGAUUAGCUAGUUGGUGGGGUAAUGGCUCACCAAGGCUACGAUCCGUAACUGGUCUGAGAGGAUGAUCAGUCACACUGGAACUGAGACACGGUCCAGACUCCUACGGGAGGCAGCAGUGGGGAAUAUUGGACAAUGGGCGAAAGCCUGAUCCAGCCAUGCCGCGUGUGUGAAGAAGGUCUUCGGAUUGUAAAGCACUUUAAGUUGGGAGGAAGGGUUGUAGAUUAAUACUCUGCAAUUUUGACGUUACCGACAGAAUAAGCACCGGCUAACUCUGUGCCAGCAGCCGCGGUAAUACAGAGGGUGCAAGCGUUAAUCGGAAUUACUGGGCGUAAAGCGCGCGUAGGUGGUUUGUUAAGUUGGAUGUGAAAUCCCCGGGCUCAACCUGGGAACUGCAUUCAAAACUGACUGACUAGAGUAUGGUAGAGGGUGGUGGAAUUUCCUGUGUAGCGGUGAAAUGCGUAGAUAUAGGAAGGAACACCAGUGGCGAAAGCGACCACCUGGACUAAUACUGACACUGAGUGCGAAAGCGUGGGGAGCAAACAGGAUUAGAUAC
RNAcentral lists this ribosomal RNA (710 nucleotides) under uncultured bacterium. RNAcentral describes it as "bacterial SSU rRNA". It matches the Rfam family "Bacterial small subunit ribosomal RNA", at positions 78 to 785 of the family's 1533-position model. The record is from RNAcentral.